This 301-nucleotide ribosomal RNA is filed under the name uncultured bacterium. RNAcentral's name for it is "partial 16S ribosomal RNA". It matches the Rfam family "Bacterial small subunit ribosomal RNA", at positions 509 to 807 of the family's 1533-position model. The record is from RNAcentral.
CAGUAGCCACGGUAAUACGAGGGGGGCAAGCGUUGUUCGGAAUUAUUGGGCGUAAAGGGUGCGUAGGCGGUUUCGUAAGUCUUAUGUGAAAUCUAUGGGCUCAACCCAUAGUCUGCAUGGGAAACUGCGAGGCUUGAGGAUGGGAGAGGUGAGUGGAAUUUCCGGUGUAGCGGUGAAAUGCGUAGAUAUCGGAAGGAACACCUGUGGCGAAAGCGGCUCACUGGACCAUUUCUGACGCUGAUGCACGAAAGCUAGGGGAGCAAACAGGAUUAGAUACCCCAGUAGUCCCUGUCUCUUAUAC